ACCCUCUCUGGAUCUCACCCGGAGAGUUUCCGGUACUCUACCAGUCUCGGUUACGGGAGGGAGAGUCAAGCAGAGGCAUACUCAUUCCAUCCCUAGCUUGGGCAGUGGCUAGCGAGCGGAAGGCAAUCUACUACAAGU
Small nucleolar RNA from Ornithorhynchus anatinus (platypus), 138 nucleotides. NCBI's taxonomy places the organism in Eukaryota, Metazoa, Chordata, Mammalia, Monotremata, Ornithorhynchidae. The record is from RefSeq and is a predicted model, not a curated record.